AAAGACAGAGGCAGGCCGUAUGCACUCGCUCAACGUCGCUGGUAUCA
RNAcentral lists this small RNA (47 nucleotides) under Sinorhizobium meliloti 2011. RNAcentral's name for it is "putative ncRNA". The record is from RNAcentral. Lineage: Bacteria; Pseudomonadati; Pseudomonadota; Alphaproteobacteria; Hyphomicrobiales; Rhizobiaceae.